CCGGGCGCGCCCCGCCGCACGCCGGGUUCCCCCGGUGCCCCCCGCGCCCCCCCGGUGCCGCCGGUGCCCCCGCCCCGCCCCGGGAGGAAGAACCGAAGGAGGUACCGGGACUCCCCCUGCCCUGGGACCCGCCGGGGGACGGGACCUGGAGCACUACCCCGCGGGGCGGCGAUGCGGAUGUGUUCCCGGCGUUGCCGCUGUCGGGAUGGCCCCGGGGGGACGGAGGGGUCUCGGGGGCCCCGACGGGCUUGGGCCGGUCUCGCCCCGUUUAGCUUGCAGAUAUUGGGAGUUUAAUGUUAUUUUUCUCCCCGAUCCCGGUGCGACCGCUGGGAACGGGAGCGGGGAUUUCUCGCGGGGAGCGCAGAUCCCGGGGAGAGAGGAGCAGACCCCACUGGAUCCAGGGUGCGGGAGCAGAGCCCCGUGGAUUCCCGGGCUCUGAGUGGACGAUCCAGCGGAAGCUGCGAGAAUUCUUUGCCAUCCCGCGGUGCCUGGUCAGCGUGUUCAGCCUGUUCCUGGUGGAGCUGAUCCGCUUCCUUGGCGAGGCCGUGGUCCAGGCACUGGUGGUCGGUGUCCUGACAGCCAUCGGCGACCAUGUCCUGAAGCCCUUCCUGGCGGCGGCGUUUCACAGCCUGCUGCAGCCGCUCCUGCUCUUCCUGCUGAAGGUGCUGGGUGGUGUCCGGGACCUGAUGGAUCCUGUGCUGGAUGUGGUGGCCCGGGUGUGCUCCCAGCUGGCCGUGCUGCUCCGCGCCGUCCGGUUGGUGGAGAUCCGUCUGCGCCCGGACCUACGGGCUGGCCCUGGUGACGGUGGCGGAUGAGUACAGGCUGUGGCUGGCCAGAUAAGAUAAGGAAGAAGAAUUCCUGGGAACUGCAGAAGAGCAGGACCAGCUGUGGCCCAGGAGGCACUGUUGUCUCCACGUGUAUCCAGGCAGGGGGCAGCACAUGGGAGGGCAGUUUGGAUCUUCUAGUUCUGCAAAUAUCUCCUUAACUUAAUUAAAUUCCAACUUUAUCCAUUGGAGCAUUGCUCCAGUGAGGUGUUUUUUCCUCUUCCUGCCUGGGAAACUGGGCUUCUCACUGACCAGAACUUCCCUGUGCAGUCUCUUGCCACCAGAUGGGCUCCACGGCUGGGGUGGUGCUCAGGGCCUGAGCCUCAAGCACUGCCAGGAGGGGACGGCUUCUGCCAGCUUCCAGCUCUCUGGGAUGGUCUCCAGAGCUGGUGGUAUGGGACAGACUGGGAUCUGGGGACAAUCGAAAAAUAGGAAUAACCACCUCAGUGUUCCUAACAACUGGUUCUCCUGCACAGUUUGGGUCGCGUAUUCCCGUCGGGAUGGGGUGGCCAAGGAACCGAACGGAGGCAGCAGAGCUCUGGAUGGGUUUUACAAACACUUGGAGGGGUCAGGGUUGGGACUGAGCUGUGUUUUGGGGCUCCCCCCGCCCCCAGCCUCUGCUCUCUCUGCCCUUUCGCCAUUCCAACAACGCUGCCUCCUGGGAGCGUCUCCCCUGGCUGGCACAAUCCCUGUGUUCCCGAUGAUUCCAUGCACAAAGCCCUUUGCUUUUUAUGGGCAGGAGCAGCAUGUUUGGAGCUUUCCAGGCUGUAAGAUCAUCCGCGGGCCCGCGCCGGGGCUGGAGCGCUCCUGCUGGGGGCCAGGCUGGCCGGGCUAUUUGGGGGGUGCUGAGUUCACGGAGCCGUGACAGGAUGUUCCCUGGGCGCUGCGAGGGGCCGGGAGCUGGGAGCCAGCCCCAAGGAGCUCCCCGGGCUCGGGUGACC
Long non-coding RNA from Chloebia gouldiae (Gouldian finch), 1765 nucleotides. NCBI's taxonomy places the organism in Eukaryota, Metazoa, Chordata, Aves, Passeriformes, Passeridae. The record is from Ensembl.